Molecule: non-coding RNA, 94 nt
Organism: Gossypium raimondii (Peruvian cotton)
Lineage: Eukaryota; Viridiplantae; Streptophyta; Magnoliopsida; Malvales; Malvaceae
Source: Rfam
AAUCCAUGAUGAUGGCACAUUCUCAAAAGAUCCUUAAAUAUCUCACAUGCAUCAUAUAGUGUUGAGCAAAAGAAGAGAUACCAUUCCUCAAUUU